Olea europaea var. sylvestris is the source of this 628-nucleotide long non-coding RNA. RefSeq lists it as uncharacterized. NCBI's taxonomy places the organism in Eukaryota, Viridiplantae, Streptophyta, Magnoliopsida, Lamiales, Oleaceae. The transcript is spliced from 2 exons. The record is from RefSeq and is a predicted model, not a curated record.
GUUCUAAUUGCAGUUUGCUUGAUUUGAAGGAGUUGGUCGAAAUGUGAACAGCUAUUUGGUAGACAUUAUCACAUUUGUUUUCAAUUUGACCAUGUGGCUAUGCAACAUUUCUUUAUCUUUUUAUAACAAAAGGAGACAAGAUUGAAGUGCCCUCUCCCCCCACUUUGCGGAGUUGGGGUUGAUGAAUUUGUACGAGAGUUUUCCAUGUUGCAGAGAUGGAUGGGAAAUAUUCUGGUGGAUCCGCAAAUCGGAAUCUGAAUUCUAUCAUCGUGAUAAGACUUUGAAACCUGUUUUCUUCGGCUUCCAUGCAAAACAUAAUUGGCGUCUUGACUAUUCUUCAGGCAAUAACUUAUGUCCAAGAUCUAUAGCUUGUAAAGCAUUCAUCUCUAUGGCUAAUUGACAUUAAACUUGUGUAGAUGUUGCAAUGUCUCAAAAACUUCUUUUAUUUCUUACUUAGUUUUAGCAUAUGCACAUGUACCUAGUCCAUGUAUAUUUAGUGCUAUCUUGCUGUUUAAAUAUAAACUGAACUCACUAGGAAUGGGAAAACUGUAGCCCAGUCGGACAAGGAUUUACAUUUUGUCGUUUCUGCUGAAAUAUGAUAAUCUUGCUUUUCUUUUUGGAAUUGAAA